RNAcentral lists this ribosomal RNA (328 nucleotides) under uncultured eukaryote. Its description in RNAcentral is "partial 18S ribosomal RNA". It matches the Rfam family "Eukaryotic small subunit ribosomal RNA", at positions 1470 to 1796 of the family's 1831-position model. The record is from RNAcentral.
CCCUUAGAUGUUCUGGGCCGCACGCGCGCUACACUGAUACGUUCAGCGAGUAUAUAACCUUGAUUGGAAAAUCUGGGUAAUCUUUUGAAUGCGUAUCGUGCUAGGGAUAGAUUAUUGCAAUUAUUAAUCUUGAACGAGGAAUUCCUAGUAAACGCAAGUCAUCGGCUUGCAUUGAUUACGUCCCUGCCCUUUGUACACACCGCCUGUCGCACAAACCGAUUGAAUGAUUCGGUGAAAAUUUUGGACAUCAAGAGUGGUGAUUAAUUUCGCUGCUCUUAAAUGGAAAGAAUUUAAACCUAAUUAUUUAGAGGAUUGUGAAGUCAUAACA